RNAcentral lists this unclassified non-coding RNA (278 nucleotides) under Hevea brasiliensis (rubber tree). The record is from RNAcentral. Lineage: Eukaryota; Viridiplantae; Streptophyta; Magnoliopsida; Malpighiales; Euphorbiaceae.
AGAUUUUGGGUUGGCUAAACUCUUUCCAGAUAACAUCACUCAUAUUAGCACAAGAGUGGCAGGGGAAAAAGGGUAUUUUGCACCCGAGGAUGCACUGGGGGGGGCGGUUACCCAGAAAGGGGAUGUGGNNNNNNNGUGUAUAGUUUUGGGGUGCUUAUCCUUGAAAUAAUUAGUGGCAAAAGCAGUACAAAGGCCAGCUGGGGAGAAAUGCAAAAGCUCCUCCUAGAAUGGGCAUGGCAGCUUCAUGAAGAGGGGAAACUCUUAGAACUAGUAGAUCC